UCUUUGGUGAUUUUAGCUGUAUGGUGGGCGUACUAGAAAUCCAUAGAGCUUUAUUACCAAAAACC
This 65-nucleotide microRNA precursor is filed under the name Bactrocera dorsalis (oriental fruit fly). RNAcentral's name for it is "microRNA bdo-mir-9b precursor". Its record names the gene bdo-mir-9b. Lineage: Eukaryota; Metazoa; Arthropoda; Insecta; Diptera; Tephritidae. The record is from miRBase by way of RNAcentral.